Molecule: long non-coding RNA, 242 nt
Organism: Labeo rohita (rohu)
Lineage: Eukaryota; Metazoa; Chordata; Actinopteri; Cypriniformes; Cyprinidae
Exons: 3
Source: RefSeq, a predicted model, not a curated record
UUGAUCAGGGUCCUUCAGGACACCACUGCUCUAAACAAAGAGCCACCAGGUCGCUGCAUCUUUUGUAAUAUGAUGGAACAAAAAGUAGGCUGGCCACAGCAUCUGAAAUGGAAACAUCUAUUAAAAUGCCUCCGCAGUAUAAGACACUUGGGAUGGUGGAAGGAGCAGAAGAACAGCGAUCAGGCAGAGUUCUACUGUUGCCCCUUAGGGAACUGAUUUAUGAUCUACUUAACAUUCUGAUU